UAAUAACUCUGACAGAUGUGUCCCCACUGAUUGGAAACUACUCGGUGUUAGGAACCACAAGUAUUGCCCAAAACAAGUGCGAGUCUUCACUCUAAUAUUCUUAGACUUCAGGGCUGGAUUUGUUAUUAUCGAGCUCAAAGCUACAAAUGGUAUUAUAGGUGCCAGUUCAAAUUAGAUUGCAAAACACAUCCUACUAGUGCUACAGUAUCCAGGGUUGGUUUCAGCUGCCCACACUUUGUCAUAAUUCUUUGAGAUUUCUGUUGCCACUCCUAUAUAAUGGAGGUGAAUGGAUGCAUUAAACAGCAUUAAAAACUUGCACUCAGAGUCUAGUGAACUUUUUUUCCAGUUUUUCAUGGAACUAAAGUAUAGUCCCUGUUAUAAAGGAGGGUUAUCCAGAGUAACAGAGACACUGUUCCUAGAGAGAGAUGUUAAAUUUGUAUUGGUUUCCUUGUGAAAACCACAACAUGUACUUCCAUUGUACUGUAGUGAAGGCCAAUAUCUCAAAAUCUGGCCAAAUCAAACCAAAAACUAUCUCCAUGGCUAGAUGUAAGUAAGGACAUUUGGGUGAACUAACAAUUUACAGCAUAAAAAAGUGAAAGCCUCACAAUGUUAAAUCAUUCCACCGGGAACUAAAAACCUUGCUUUUGUUCAUGGGUCUUUUAAAUCAAUUGGGUGUGGUCCAGUUCUAUUCAGUAAAGCAGCCAACUCACGUAAAAGUUGUAUGGAAAAUCAUUUGCCCUAUCACACAUUGAAGUGGGCUCCAGUUCAGAAAGAAAACACAUCCCAUUAAGCAGCAGCAGUUGAGAAGCCGUGUUAUUAUGAAAGAAUGGAAACAUUUGUCGUGAUGAGUGGGAAACUCCUGUAAAUAUGUCACGUUUUGGCUAAUGAAUGCGUCUGGUAUUUAUAACAGCAAAAUAAGAGGGUUGUGAUUAUGUGUUUGUCAGUCAAGACAUAUUAUGCACCUGAGUGUGUUCUAGGACAGAUUGUUGGCUUCUGGGUGUGUGCGGGACAAGUUUGGUCCAGGACUCCAUAUGCUGCGGCACCGCAGAUGUUAAAAGAUAAAAGUCAGUGUGGCGCUGCAGAGACAAAUGGACGUGGUGACGUGUACAUGGGCAUGCAGACAGGCCAACACCUGGCUGCAGAGCAAAUGACUUUAGGCUCUGAAGGGAAGGGAUGAGUGUUGAUUCUGUUUGUCUCUUUGUGUGUGUGAGACUACACUAUAUGGCCAAAAGUAUGUGGACAACACAGACACUAAUUGUGUGCAGUUAUUUGAGGCUAGGCCCGUUUUUUCCGACUGUGAGAAAUAUUGAAGACCCUGAAAACGUAAAAUCUUUACAUUUACGUGACAGUUAAUAUUUGUGACUAAAUAUGCAACAAUCAGAGUUUUAAAAAAACAUGUACCGGUACUUACAUUUUGAAGGUUACCGGUACAGGCCGGGAAACCCCUCUUGUCCUCGGCUUUUGUUGGACCCCAUUUUCUAAAGGUUUCCUUUCAGAAAUUUGGGUUUCUUUUCACCAAAUUGUCCAAAAAAUAACAAGGAUGGUUACAUACAAUGCUCUUCACAAGUAAAAUAAAUGAUGAGUUUAUUACUUUAUUACUUAUUGAAUUUGGGUGUUUUAUUCAAUUUUAUAGCAUUUGAAAAAGAAAAGUUGAAAAAUGCGACAAAAAUUUCUGAUAAAGCUUCAAAAACAUGAAAAAAAGACAACAAACAUUAGAAAAAUUGCAGAAAUAAUCAACAGAAACGUCGUAAAAAGUUUCAAAAACGUUCGAGAAAAGUGUAGAAAAAGACGACAAAAACGUUUUAUUUUUUAAAUUUUGAGCCGAAAAAAAGAAAAGUUGCAUGGUGGACUGGAAGACAAGACACAGUGUGUUCAUUAAAGAGCAUUAAAGGGUGCUGGUAGUCUUCAUGCUUAGAAAGCAGCUGGUGGUAGCUUCAUACUUAGAAUACAGACAUGCGAGUGGUAUUCAUUUUCUCAUCUAACUCUUGGCAAGAAAGCAAAUAUGCAUAUUUCCCAAAAUGUCAAACUUCACUUUAACGCUCAACAAUUUCCCAACAAGUCAAACUUCUCUUGCUCAACAAAGUGCAAUCUCUGUGGAUGUGGUUUUAUUCAUUUCUGAAUCCGAUGUUGCUUAAUCCUUAUUCGUGCUUUUUUCUUUUUCUACCAUGUUUGAGUCCACUUUAAAUCAGUGGAGGAGUACAGAUUCAAAAAAAGAUUAUUUGAAGCUUUGGCAGAAAAUAGUGUGUUCAUGUAAGAUCUCAUCACUCAUAGUAAGACGUUGAUUGCAAGCAUAUGUUUUCAGGACCUUCAAUUGCUACAGCAUACGGUGAUAUUUUUGACUCUUUGUGGAAACGGUUUGGGAUCGGUCUUUUCCUGUUUCUACACAACAGUGCCCCCAGUGUCAAUAAAGAAAUGUUUUUCUCAGUUUGGUGUAGAAGAAGUUCUCUUGCGUGCACAGAGCACUGACGUCUACUCUAUCUUACACCUUUGGAGAUUACUUGAUUAAUGCUGUUAUGCCUGAAAUUCGCUGCCAUGAUCUUGUUGAAAGCCUUCCAAGAACAGUGGAGGCUGUUAUAGCAGCAGAUUAAUGCCAAUGGUUGAAUGCCCAAGUGUCCGCAUACUCUUGUCCAUGUAAUGUGUGUUUUAUUGCUUUCUGUGUGCAUGUGUGUGGUCCACUUUGUAACUUGAGCCUACCUGCAAUUCUCAGAAACUUGCUGUCCCUUAGCAGCCCGACCUGACCUGAGACAGAGGCAGAGAAAGAGAGUGUGACGGGGGUUGGAAAAAAGGCAAUUGAAGGGGAGGGAGAGAGGGCGAGAGCGAGCCUCCAGAGGGGUUUGAAUUCCCCGCAAUCAGAAACGUGAAACAGAGAUGAGAAAGAGGCAGUGACUGAUCCUUACAAUCACAGACUUCCCACAUAUGUAGUCUCUACCCUUUUUUCUUUGGUUUUGUUUUGCACUUUUGCUUUUGUGUGAAGUCAAUCGAUGUGUCUUUCCUUCUGUUUCAGUGUUGUUUUUUGGUAGAAGUCUGAGAAACAGAGAAGGAGGGGUGAUUGUUUUUUGUUUUUUUGACCCUCUGUUUUUCUAUUUUCUAUUUAUUUCUAUUUGUUUUUGUACUUUUUUGUAACUUCAUCCACUUGGCAGCUUGAUAUUUAAUGAAUGUGUGUGUGUGUGUGGGUGUGUUUGUGUCAGCUCAUAAGCACUGUCUCAGCCUACCACUAGAAUAGACUUCCACUCCACCUGUCAGAUCUUUUACCUCCUUCGAUGCUGUGAAGGGGAGUUAACACUGCGGCCAUCUUAUUUGCUUUCUGUAACUGCCAUGUUGUGUUGAUGACGUCAUCUUUUUCUCGUGACCUUAACAGUAUCACAUAACCACUUAAAUUGAUGAGUUGCUUUUGUGUUUUGAUUAUGUUUAAUGUUGUUAUUUUUUGAGGGUUUUAUCAAAACUCAUUUUCAUAUCCUUCACAAAGGGCUCUACAUACAGCCCACAUAUAUACGCAUAGGCCUACCUACAUCCACACACACACACACACACACACCAACCCAGUCUCAUGGCAGUUAGUGAAAUGGUCACGUAAUUUAAUUUGAUUUGUGUACACAAACACGUUUAUCUCGUUUUUUUUCCGUGAUGGUCAGCACUUUUUUUUAAACUAAUGUACUUCAAUGGGAUUCUCAAUGAGAAGAUGACGUAUCUUUAAGAGCGACUACGGUAGAGAGUAGUAUGAAAGCCCGAAAAUCCGCAAUGGGAAGUUGGUUGGGUUGGUGGAUGGGUCAAACAACACAGGAUCUUCACCCAAAAGACCGUGAAUCGUGUCCCGCGUGUCACGUUUCCUAAACUCAACCGUCCCAUUCUUCUUUUCCUAAACCCCGCAACCCAAAACCGGAUAAGCUGUGUCCCGCAGUGUACAGCUAUGCAAUCGUUGGUAUUAUAAAAAACGUGCUGACCAUCACGAAAAAAGGAGGUACGUGUACACAAAUCAAAAAGAUUAAAUUACGUGACCAAUUCACAAACUGCCAUGAGACUGUGUUGCACACACACACACACACACACACACGCACACACACACACACACACACACACACACACACACACACACACACACACACAGUACAGCCUCUGUUUUCUCUACUGUGGUCUGAUUGUGGCCGUGUCCUCUGCUGGUAAAACAGUCAGACUACUGUAGCUGCUCUGUUUGUGCCCUCAGUGUUAUGUGAUCACUAUGAAGGCUCACCAUUGUGUGUCCAAAAAACAUUUUUGUCAUCGCUCAGCCACGCAGAACCGGUUUGGGCCAGAGCCCCGGCCUGAGAGGAACCCAAGAUGCAGAAAAUGAACGGUCAUUUUUGCGCUCAUCUUAUAUUUAAUGUUCUGUGUCUGUCUGACAGCAAAACGGUGCUGGUUUAAUGCUUUUCUGUGUUGUUUCUUUUUUUUCUUUUAUCACUGGUAUCCUGUUUUUACUUCCUCCAAAAAGACAAAGAUGUAAAAAAAAAAAAAAAGAAAGAAAGAAAAGAAAACGGAAAAAAAGAGAUGAUGAUCUUUUUUUGGAAAAAUGACUUUUUAUUUGAGUUGCAUGCUGAAAUGCAGAUAGUACUUUUGCUUGUAAAACUAUGAAUUGCACCUUAUUGGAGGGAUAUGGUUUUGUUUUUUAUGCUUAUAUGAAUAUAUAUAUAUAUGUGUAUAUAUAUAUGUAUAUAUACAUGUGUAUAUGUAUAUAUAUUUAUGUGUAUAUGUAUAUAUAUAGAUACAUAAAGGGGAUAUAUGUUUAUUUGUUUAUUUUAUUUUAAAUAUUUUAUUUUAUAUUAAAAGAUGUAAGUAGUUAGUCAUGCAAAUGUGUUGUAUCUUAAACAGGGUUAUGAUUUGUUAUGCUUAUUAAUGUCAUGUGUCAUCAUAAUUGAUUCCGUCACUGGUGUUUGUUGUGGGACGGCUUCAUUAAGCAUCGGAAAAUAAGCCAGAGACUGGUGAACAUGCAAAAUAUCCGACACAUUACCUAGAAUGGAUUGUGACACUGGUAAAAAAAAAUUAAAAACUAUUUUUACUAUAUACAAUUUGGACUUCUGUGAGCACAAACCUCCAAAUUAAGGUUUAUAUUGGGUCACAGAUGUACAUUUAAUCCAAAGUGGAGAUAUCUGCUGAAAAAAAGAAUUGACGACUAAAACUGAGCAGGAACAGGUUUCCCUUGUUGGUCCAGAUAAUAACAUUCUGUAAUGAGUGUGACUGCCUGGCUAAUUGCUGCUGCUUAGUGGAGCUUUGUUUGCAGACACACACACACACAAACACACACACACACACGCACACACACACACACAAACAUACUCACACAGUGACCACUAGGAGGCAUCCUGCUUGUCACAUAAACAAGCACUUCUUCAGCCUUCCGUCCAUCUUGUCCUUGAAAAAGGACAAGAGACUAACUAACAAAAGACACCAUGUUGCUUAUGUUCACAUAUUUUCACACACAUACACACAACAUUACGGCCUUGGCAGAUGAUUGGCACAAGGCAUGCUGCUGCCACCCGCUUUCAUGUCCCCAGGGCAGAGUGCUCUCAGCCGCCAAUUAACCAAGAGUUCCAUAUCCAUCUAAUCCCCCCCCACCACAUUGCCAGAUGUAACCUUCCACUCUUUACACAGACUCUGUUUUGGUAAAAGAUACAGUUUCCAAUGUGAGAGAGAUAAUGAAAGUAGGUGAAAUGGUGUGUUUUUGUUAGAUAAAAUCAAACAAAGUGUAAGCGAUAAGUAGACUGGUCAUGCCUUCUAUUCUGGCCCAUCAUUGUCUGCCAAUGGAAAGUACCUACUGUAACAUAAAAAAAACAUCCCUACCUUAGCUGACAGCAAUGUUAUUAUGUAGCCCGCAAAACCACAAACCUGUCGCCCCUUUCCAAGCAUUUCAAACUUGUUUGAAAAAGCUGUCAGAAGAGGACAAAGCAAGGAGAUGAUUUUUAUACCUUUUUUAUUUUUGACACAACGGCUACACAUGAGCGUACCUUAUUACAUAUUGUGACAUUGUACAAUAACACAACCUGUAUCCCCUGCCUCCCUCUGUCCCCAUGCACUGAUAAGGAUUGUAUAUGGUUGCAUAGUUUAUUUUUUAUAUCAUUGUUAGGGCUUCAUUUUGUUCCCGGGGGUCCCUUUUUUUUUUCUUUUCGUGCUGUUAUGUUUAAAUGGUUUGAUGGGUCUCUGUAAUUGUGUGGGAGAGUGCGUAUGCGCUGUAGCUUACUGAAUGUGUGUGUGAGUGAGAGAGGCAGAAGAGAAAAAAGAUUGGUUGUGCACAUCAGUCCUUUGCCUGUGUUCAUCAUUGUGCCAGUGUGUUCAGGUGUUCCCUUGCCUCCACAUCUGUUCAUCCAAAUUGAGAGAGAGAAAGAGAGAGAGAGAGAGAGAGAGAGAGAGAGAACAGAAGAGGAGGAGGCAGAGGGCCUUUUCCCACAGGGGAAAAAAAAAACAUAAAUGAGAAAAGACACUUUUGAAAAAAGGACAUUUUUCUCCUCUGCGGGGUCGCAAAGAAGAGUGUACAUUUUUAAGUUAAAUGAAAAUGAAGAAUAAAAAAACUCAUUUGUUCUCUAUAUGAAUGGCUGUAUGUUAACCAUGAACAAAAAGUAAUGAGUUCUAUGACAAAGACGUAUAAUAAAUUAAUUUUAAAAUUUUAA
Molecule: long non-coding RNA, 6635 nt
Organism: Etheostoma spectabile (orangethroat darter)
Lineage: Eukaryota; Metazoa; Chordata; Actinopteri; Perciformes; Percidae
Exons: 2
Source: RefSeq, a predicted model, not a curated record